GCAAGUCGAGGGGUAACAUGAGAGCUUGCUCUUGAUGACGACCGGCGGACGGGUGCGGAACGCGUAUGCAACCUACCUAGUACAAGGGAAUAACCCGUGGGAACAUGGAUUAAUGCCCUAUAAUAUUUCGAGUCAUAAGGCUUGAUUUUGAAAGAUUUAUUGGUAUUAGAUGGGCAUGCGUAUGAUUAGUUAGUUGGUGAGGUAACGGCUCACCAAGACGAUGAUCAUUAGGGGGUCUGAGAGGAUGAUC
Molecule: ribosomal RNA, 250 nt
Filed under: uncultured bacterium
Lineage: Bacteria
Description: partial 16S ribosomal RNA
Rfam family: Bacterial small subunit ribosomal RNA
Source: RNAcentral